RNAcentral lists this small RNA (104 nucleotides) under Clostridium sp. Its description in RNAcentral is "Guanidine-I sequence". It matches the Rfam family "Guanidine-I riboswitch aptamer". Rfam says of the family: This family represents a conserved RNA structure found upstream of the ykkC and yxkD genes in Bacillus subtilis and related genes in other bacteria. Lineage: Bacteria; Bacillati; Bacillota; Clostridia; Eubacteriales; Clostridiaceae. RNAcentral also lists the same sequence under 1 other name. The record is from RNAcentral.
UUAAAAGUUUUAUAGGGUUCCGCAACUUUAAAAUAGAGCUGGUCUGGUCCGAGAUAAAACGUACAGUUUAACUGUAUACACGGAAGGAUAAAAGCCUGGGAGGU